CCUACGGGAGGCAGCAGUGAGGAAUAUUGGUCAAUGGACGAGAGUCUGAACCAGCCAAGUAGCGUGAAGGAUGACUGCCCUAUGGGUUGUAAACUUCUUUUAUAAAGGAAUAAAACGAGGCACGUGUGCCUUUUUGCAUGUACUUUAUGAAUAAGGAUCGGCUAACUCCGUGCCAGCAGCCGCGGUAAUACGGAGGAUCCGAGCGUUAUCCGGAUUUAUUGGGUUUAAAGGGAGCGUAGAUGGGUUGAUAAGUCAGAGGUGAAAGUUCGCGGCUCAACCGUAAAAUUGCAAUUGAUACUGGCAGUCUUGAGUACAGUUGAGGUAGGCGGAAUGCGUGGUGUAGCGGUGAAAUGCUUAGAGAUCACAAAGAACCCCGAUUGCGAAGGCAGCUUACUAAACUGUGACUGACAUUGAUGCUCGAAAGUGUGGGGAUCAAACAGGAUUAGAUACCCUAGUAGUC
Molecule: ribosomal RNA, 460 nt
Filed under: uncultured bacterium
Lineage: Bacteria
Description: partial 16S ribosomal RNA
Rfam family: Bacterial small subunit ribosomal RNA
Source: RNAcentral